CCUACGUGAGGCAGCAGUGGGGAAUAUUGCGCAAUGGGCGAAAGCCUGACGCAGCGACGCCGCGUGAGGGAUGAAGGUCUUCGGAUCGUAAACCUCUGUCAGCAGGGAAGAACGGUCACUGUGCUAAUCAGCAGUGAAUUGACGGUACCUGCAAAGGAAGCACCGGCUAACUCCGUGCCAGCAGCCGCGGUAAUACGGAGGGUGCGAGCGUUAAUCGGAAUUACUGGGCGUAAAGCGCUCGUAGGCGGUAUGUCAAGUCAAGGGUGAAAUCCCCGCGCGCAACGUGGGAACUGCCUUUGAAACUGGCAAACUGGAGUGUGUGAGAGGAUAGUGGAAUUCCAGGUGUAGCAGUGAAAUCCGUAGAUAUCUGGAGGAACAUCAGUGGCGAAGGCGACUAUCUGGCACAUAACUGACGCUGAGGAGCGAAAGCGUGGGUAGCAAACAGGAUUAGAUACCCUUGUAGUC
Molecule: ribosomal RNA, 465 nt
Filed under: uncultured bacterium
Lineage: Bacteria
Description: partial 16S ribosomal RNA
Rfam family: Bacterial small subunit ribosomal RNA
Source: RNAcentral